CAGUCGUACCUUCGGGUAAUCAGCCUUUUGGGUGUGAUUAUGUGGAGCGUGAGGAGUUAAUCGCCUUCAUGCCUGCAUAUUCGUGCACUUUGGGUGUACUUGCCCGUGUGGUUGGUUAACAUCAAUUUUGGUUAUCAUAAAAUGACUGGAGGAAUGUAGCUUCGAUCUCGUAUUGAAGUGUUAUAGACUCUGGUAGAUGUGACGAGUUGGGAUU
RNAcentral lists this ribosomal RNA (214 nucleotides) under Rhizophagus intraradices. Lineage: Eukaryota; Fungi; Glomeromycota; Glomeromycetes; Glomerales; Glomeraceae. The record is from RNAcentral.